CCCUUCUUUCGUCGUCCUACCGCCGCAGACCAGCCACCACCACCUUCGCCUUCACCGGAGAUUUCUGGCGCCACCAAACCUAGCCCCAUCUCCCCUCCUAUUCGUGCUCUGCUCCGCCGUGCACCGCCUCCUUUCUCUUCGACUCCCCUGUUCUCCCUCCCCUGUUCGCACACCCCUCCUUUUCUUCCUCUUAUCCGCGAGCCACAGCCACGCGGUCAGAACCGCCCAGCCACGCUGGAGUUUCCCCGUCGCCGACAACCGAGCCCAGCCACCCCAACUCCCUUCCUCCUCCGUGCCUUCCCUGUUUCACGCCCCUCCCCUGUUUCUAUUUCCCUUCCCAGAAAACCGAGAAUCAUGUUUCUAAGUGAAACAUUGAUUCUUAUUCACCUCAAAGUCUCAAACUCGUAUUUGAGUUGGGCUAUUUUACUUUGGGCCUUUGAAAUUGGACUCGGAGCUCAGGACGAACGAACCAGCGAAAAUCCUUAGCCAAAAUCGUGGAAGUGAGGUACUGCUGGGAACGAUGGAAACGAGUAGUGGCGAGGAUUUCACUUUAAUAAUAUUCACCUAGUUACGCUUAACGUUUUGAUAGUUUAAUUAAAGACUCGUAGUAAGUUAUGUACUUUUACCUUG
This is a long non-coding RNA of Spinacia oleracea (spinach), 630 nucleotides long. RefSeq lists it as uncharacterized. The transcript has 3 exons. Lineage: Eukaryota; Viridiplantae; Streptophyta; Magnoliopsida; Caryophyllales; Amaranthaceae. The record is from RefSeq and is a predicted model, not a curated record.